RNAcentral lists this ribosomal RNA (207 nucleotides) under uncultured bacterium. Its description in RNAcentral is "partial 16S ribosomal RNA". It matches the Rfam family "Bacterial small subunit ribosomal RNA", at positions 568 to 774 of the family's 1533-position model. The record is from RNAcentral.
UACGCAGGCGGAUAUUUAAGUCAAAUGUGAAAGGCGUCGGCUCAACCGGCGGAUUGCAAUUGAAACUGGAUAUCUUGAGUACAGUAGAGGAGAGUGGAAUUCCUGGAGUAGCGGUGAAAUGCGUAGAUAUCAGGAAGAACACCAGUGGCGAAGGCGGCUCUCUGGACUGAUACUGACGCUGAGGUACGAAAGCUGGGGGAGCAAACG